RNAcentral lists this unclassified non-coding RNA (339 nucleotides) under soil metagenome. Its description in RNAcentral is "partial contains 5.8S ribosomal RNA, internal transcribed spacer 2, and large subunit ribosomal RNA". The stretch from base 1 to 120 matches the Rfam family "5.8S ribosomal RNA", at positions 35 to 154 of the family's 154-position model. The record is from RNAcentral.
GAUGAAGAACGUAGUGAAAUGCGAUAAGUAAUGUAAAUUGCAGAAUUCAGUGAAUCAUCGAAUCUUUGAACGCACAUUGCACCUCUCGGUAUUCCGGGAGGUAUGCCUGUUCGAGCGUCAUUUGUACCCUCAAGCUCUGCUUGGUGUUGGGUGUUUGUUCCGCCUCUGUGUGUGAACUCGCCUCAAAACAAUUGGCAGCCGGCGUACUUGUUUCGGAGCGCAGCACAUUUUGCGAUCCAGAUCAACGUACAGCGGCAUCCAAGAAGCCUUAUUUAACGCUCUUGACCUCGGAUCAGGUAGGGAUACCCGCUGAACUUAAGCAUAUCAAUAAGCGGAGGA